UGGCUCAGGAUGAACGCUGGCGGCGUGCCUAACACAUGCAAGUCGAGCGGAGAUAUUGAGGGAUUUUUUUAGAUGAUCUCCUUAUCUUAGCGGCGGAUGGGUGAGUAACACGUGGGUAACCUGCCCUGCACAGGGGGAUAACAGCUGGAAACGGCUGUUAAUACCGCAUAUGCACACGCUGCCGCAUGGCAGAGGGUGGAAAGAUUUAUCGGUGCAGGAUGGGCCCGCGUCGGAUUAACUAGUUGGCAGGGUAACGGCCUACCAAGGUUAUGAUCCGUAGCCGACCUGAGAGGGUGACCGGCCACAUUGGGACUGAGACACGGCCCAAACUCCUACGGGAGGCAGCAGUGGGGGAUAUUGCACAAUGGGCGGAAGCCUGAUGCAGCGACGCCGCGUGAAGGAAGAAGUAUUUCGGUAUGUAAACUUCUAUCAGCGGGGAAGAAGAUGACGGUACCCGACUAAGAAGCCCCGGCUAACUACGUGCCAGCAGCCGCGGUAAUACGUAGGGGGCAAGCGUUAUCCGGAUUUACUGGGUGUAAAGGGAGCGUAGACGGCAGGGCAAGUCCGAUGUGAAAACCCGGGGCUCAACCGCGGGAUUGCAUUGGAAACUGCUCGGCUCGAGUACUGGAGGGGUAAGCGGAAUUCCUAGUGUAGCGGUGAAAUGGGUAGAUAUUAGGAGGAACACCGGCGGGGAAGGCGGCUUA
RNAcentral lists this ribosomal RNA (704 nucleotides) under Lachnospiraceae bacterium R62. Its description in RNAcentral is "bacterial SSU rRNA". It matches the Rfam family "Bacterial small subunit ribosomal RNA", at positions 20 to 728 of the family's 1533-position model. The record is from RNAcentral. Lineage: Bacteria; Bacillati; Bacillota; Clostridia; Lachnospirales; Lachnospiraceae.